RNAcentral lists this long non-coding RNA (1985 nucleotides) under Cotesia glomerata. RNAcentral's name for it is "uncharacterized LOC123262141, transcript variant X1". The record is from RNAcentral. Lineage: Eukaryota; Metazoa; Arthropoda; Insecta; Hymenoptera; Braconidae.
AAUAUGAAAAUAUUUUUACUCUGUUUACUUAUUCAAAAAUUUGUCAGUUGCAAAUCGUUCUUUUAUUAUAUAUACCGUCGAUCAGUCACAUGGCCGAUUUCAGUUUUCACUAUCACUGGAAAUAACAACAAAAGUUAGCAAUUAAAUAAAUAAAUAACCUUUAUUCAAACAGUGAAUAAGUAUAUUUACCUUUUACAACGACCUGUUUGUUUCCGCUGGUUAUUAGACAGCUGUCACCAACUCAGGCUGUCAUUUGUAAUGUAUACUUAACUUAACUAGCCUUUAAAUAGCAGAAGUAAAUUAUCGCGGUGGUGUAUGUAUACACUGUAGUGAGAAGACUGCAUUGUUAUCCGACCAUUAAUAUUUCAUUUCCUCGUUCAUUAUCGAAAUUACUAUUUUAAGCAGUUUUUCAUAAGGAUAAUCAUUACAUUUAUUUUUCGUUUCAAAUUUAUUUCAACAUACUUACAAUAUAAAAAAGAAUAUGCAUAUUGUUUCACAAUUUUUUUUCUGUAUCUAUGUUAUACUUGGACGGUAGUUAAAAGACACGCGAAAAAUUAUCGUUAAAACUGAAUUAGUAUCAGAAGAAUUAAAUAAUAUUUAAAAUUACAUGCUUAAAAUAACCGAGAUAUUAUAAUGGAGCAAUGAGUUGGAAAAUAGUGAUUGCAUACCUAUAUAGUGACCACAGAAACUUAUCAGAAUGAAACGAGCGACAAUCGAAAGUAGUAAACAUGCACCAGAGUGGAAUGUUACCCAGUUCAACGUUUAUAAUUUUAUCAGGACACCACAUCUGUUUUAAAUGCUAUUAUGAAACCGUUCAGGUUAUCUCGGAGGAAAGAAAAGAAUAGAGCGAUAUCUAAAGUGGCAGCAUUGAUCGUGGGUUCUCUCAGCGGUAAGGAACAAACGUUUAUGAAGAAAGACAAUGAUAAUGAUAAGAAAGAGCUAGAGAGAUUUUAGCUUCCUUGCUACCAACACGGUAGCUUGUUCCAAUCUACAUCUCUCGAAAGCAAGUUUCUUCGUCCUCUGUCACCUCGCUAGAAUAAUUAUUUUCGUGUUUUUUGGCUCCGAAAACUUAGUGAUUGCCAUCGCCGACUCGUUUUAAACAACGUUUUUCAUUCCCAAGGACAAUUGUUUCGUUGAGUGUGAUUUCUCCAAGCAAUAACACGAUUCGCUUAUUGAUAUCAUGGAUAUUAAAGUACUAAUUUUAAUGUUUCUGGUAAUCAUUGUUGCAGUGAGUGUUGAAGGGAGGCACAAGAAGAAGAAGAAAGAAUGUACAAAAUUGGCAGCAAAUAGUAAUGCCACAAUUGAUUUUGAUUAUCUAGUGUUAACAAUAUCUUGGCUGCCUACGGCUGUUACGUCUUGCAUACAGCCCGUCCUAAGUCGUCUUGUAAAAACCUAGUUAUAAAUAAUCAAUUGUCUAUUCACGGGCUGUGGCCUUUGUUGAUUGUCGGAAAAUCUCCAGAAAGUUGCAACUGUUCAACAAAAUUUAAUAGCAAUGAAAUAAAGACUCUGAUUUCUGAGCUUAAUGCUAAAUGGACCAACAUAGAAAAAGGAAGUGGAGAAAAUUUUUGGCAACAUGAAUACGAAAAACACGGCUCUUGUGCCAGCUCAAUUGAAGCUUUGAACACUCAAUACAAAUAUUUUGAUCAAGGGCUCAAGCUUUUUGAAAAAUAUAACAUCAAAGUCAAAUUCUCAACAAUAGUAGCAUCAAUGUAGGGAGCAGUUAUAGAGAAGCGGAUAUUAUUGAAGGUUUUAGAAAACAGUUGGGAAAACAGAUAAUUGUUAGAUGCAAGAAUUCAUCAAGCUUGGAGGUUUUCAAAAAUAAAAUUUUUGAUUAUUUAUUUAAUUUAGAUGUUUGAUCAUAAACUGUUGUAAAUGCUUCUAUCAUUAUUUUAUUAAUCUUCAAACUUCGUUAACCUUCUUUAUAUAGCUUCUUUUUAAUUUAAAGUUUCCUACCUGUCUCUUUAGUAACAUCAAAGAUUCUUAAA